UACGUAGGUGGCAAGCGUUGUUCGGAAUUACUGGGCGUAAAGGGCGCGUAGGCGGCCAUCUAAGUCAGACGUGAAAUCCCUCGGCUCAACCGAGGAACUGCGUCUGAUACUGGAAGGCUUGAAUCCGGGAGAGGGAUGUGGAAUUCCAGGUGUAGCGGUGAAAUGCGUAGAUAUCUGGAGGAACACCGGUGGCGAAGGCGGCAUCCUGGACCGGUAUUGACGCUGAGGCGCGAAAGCUAGGGGAGCAAACGGG
RNAcentral lists this ribosomal RNA (253 nucleotides) under uncultured bacterium. Its description in RNAcentral is "partial 16S ribosomal RNA". It matches the Rfam family "Bacterial small subunit ribosomal RNA", at positions 524 to 776 of the family's 1533-position model. The record is from RNAcentral.